Molecule: long non-coding RNA, 341 nt
Organism: Mercenaria mercenaria
Lineage: Eukaryota; Metazoa; Mollusca; Bivalvia; Venerida; Veneridae
Exons: 3
Source: RefSeq, a predicted model, not a curated record
AUGGAAGGUCGCGGAGAAAAUGAAACUACCAAAAACAAUUAUUUGAUGAUUUAUUUCGAUUGUAUAAAGAACGACAGUUAGCGAAUCUCAAGAUCAACCACUGAGGAUUGUUUGGCUUGAUGCAAUGACCUUAAACAGUGAAAUGAUUUUCCAGGAAGGUCUAUACACAACAAGCUGGAUUUUAUUGGUGAUGAAAGAACUAUCAAUAUGUAAAUGGGAAUGUAACAGAAGGAAUUAAUAUGUUCUACUGAUCAUCCAGCUGAAAUCAUGCCUGUGGAAUAGAGUGCAUGUCACAAAUACUUAUAUGAGCAAAUAACUCCAUAUUGCAGAAAUAAGGUCAU